UACGUAGGGUGCGAGCGUUAAUCGGAAUUACUGGGCGUAAAGUGUGCGCAGGCGGCUGAGCAAGUCGAGUGUGAAAGCCCCGGGCUUAACUUGGGAAUUGCGCUCGAAACUACUUUGCUGGAGUGUGGCAGAGGAAGGUGGAAUUCCACGUGUAGCGGUGAAAUGCGUAGAGAUGUGGAGGAACACCAAUGGCGAAGGCGGCAUCCUGGACCGGUAUUGACGCUGAAACGCGAAAGCUAGGGUAGCAAACGGG
This 253-nucleotide ribosomal RNA is filed under the name uncultured bacterium. Its description in RNAcentral is "partial 16S ribosomal RNA". It matches the Rfam family "Bacterial small subunit ribosomal RNA", at positions 524 to 776 of the family's 1533-position model. The record is from RNAcentral.